ACCUAUCUCCAGUUUGUGCGUGGAUCAGACGCCAUCAAAUCCGUCCGUUUUCCAUCAGUCCAUCCAAUGGUGUUAGAUUCACGCACAAACUCGUGAUCUGUCU
Molecule: microRNA precursor, 103 nt
Filed under: Corchorus olitorius
Lineage: Eukaryota; Viridiplantae; Streptophyta; Magnoliopsida; Malvales; Malvaceae
Description: MIR403 microRNA precursor family
Rfam family: MIR403 microRNA precursor family
Source: Rfam by way of RNAcentral